AUUGAACGCUGGCGGCAGGCCUAACACAUGCAAGUCGAGCGGAUGAAUGGAGCUUGCUGCUGGAUUCGGCGGCGGACGGGUGAGUAAUGCCUAUGAAUCUGCCUGGUAGUGGGGGAUAACGUCCUGAAACGGGCGCUAAUACCGCAUGCGUCCUGAGGGAGACAGAGGGUGGGCUUCGGACCUCUCGCUAUCAUAGGGGCAUAGGUCGGAUUAAGUAGUUGGUGGGGUAAAGGCCUACCAAGGCGACGAUCCUGAACUGGUCUGAGAGGAUGAUCACUCACCUGGGAUGUGAGACACGGCCGAGACUCCUACGGGAGGACGCAGUGGGGACUAUUGGACGAUGGGCGAGAGCCUGAUCCAGGAAUGCCGCGUGUGUGAAGAAGUUCUCAGGCCUGUAAAGCAAUUUAAGCUGGGAGGAAGUGAAGUAAGUUAAUACCUUGCUGUUUUGACGUUACCAACAGAAUAAGCACCGGCUAACUCCGUG
This 484-nucleotide ribosomal RNA is filed under the name uncultured bacterium. RNAcentral's name for it is "partial 16S ribosomal RNA". It matches the Rfam family "Bacterial small subunit ribosomal RNA", at positions 30 to 507 of the family's 1533-position model. The record is from RNAcentral.